This 1530-nucleotide ribosomal RNA is filed under the name Escherichia coli O104:H4 str. 11-3677. RNAcentral describes it as "bacterial SSU rRNA". It matches the Rfam family "Bacterial small subunit ribosomal RNA". Lineage: Bacteria; Pseudomonadati; Pseudomonadota; Gammaproteobacteria; Enterobacterales; Enterobacteriaceae. The record is from RNAcentral.
AGAGUUUGAUCAUGGCUCAGAUUGAACGCUGGCGGCAGGCCUAACACAUGCAAGUCGAACGGUAACAGGAAACAGCUUGCUGUUUCGCUGACGAGUGGCGGACGGGUGAGUAAUGUCUGGGAAACUGCCUGAUGGAGGGGGAUAACUACUGGAAACGGUAGCUAAUACCGCAUAACGUCGCAAGACCAAAGAGGGGGACCUUCGGGCCUCUUGCCAUCGGAUGUGCCCAGAUGGGAUUAGCUUGUUGGUGGGGUAACGGCUCACCAAGGCGACGAUCCCUAGCUGGUCUGAGAGGAUGACCAGCCACACUGGAACUGAGACACGGUCCAGACUCCUACGGGAGGCAGCAGUGGGGAAUAUUGCACAAUGGGCGCAAGCCUGAUGCAGCCAUGCCGCGUGUAUGAAGAAGGCCUUCGGGUUGUAAAGUACUUUCAGCGGGGAGGAAGGGAGUAAAGUUAAUACCUUUACUCAUUGACGUUACCCGCAGAAGAAGCACCGGCUAACUCCGUGCCAGCAGCCGCGGUAAUACGGAGGGUGCAAGCGUUAAUCGGAAUUACUGGGCGUAAAGCGCACGCAGGCGGUUUGUUAAGUCAGAUGUGAAAUCCCCGGGCUCAACCUGGGAACUGCAUCUGAUACUGGCAAGCUUGAGUCUCGUAGAGGGGGGUAGAAUUCCAGGUGUAGCGGUGAAAUGCGUAGAGAUCUGGAGGAAUACCGGUGGCGAAGGCGGCCCCCUGGACGAAGACUGACGCUCAGGUGCGAAAGCGUGGGGAGCAAACAGGAUUAGAUACCCUGGUAGUCCACGCCGUAAACGAUGUCGACUUGGAGGUUGUGCCCUUGAGGCGUGGCUUCCGGAGCUAACGCGUUAAGUCGACCGCCUGGGGAGUACGGCCGCAAGGUUAAAACUCAAAUGAAUUGACGGGGGCCCGCACAAGCGGUGGAGCAUGUGGUUUAAUUCGAUGCAACGCGAAGAACCUUACCUGGUCUUGACAUCCACGGAACUUUCCAGAGAUGGAUUGGUGCCUUCGGGAGCUGUGAGACAGGUGCUGCAUGGCUGUCGUCAGCUCGUGUUGUGAAAUGUUGGGUUAAGUCCCGCAACGAGCGCAACCCUUAUCCUUUGUUGCCAGCGGUCCGGCCGGGAACUCAAAGGAGACUGCCAGUGAUAAACUGGAGGAAGGUGGGGAUGACGUCAAGUCAUCAUGGCCCUUACGACCAGGGCUACACACGUGCUACAAUGGCGCAUACAAAGAGAAGCGACCUCGCGAGAGCAAGCGGACCUCAUAAAGUGCGUCGUAGUCCGGAUUGGAGUCUGCAACUCGACUCCAUGAAGUCGGAAUCGCUAGUAAUCGUGGAUCAGAAUGCCACGGUGAAUACGUUCCCGGGCCUUGUACACACCGCCCGUCACACCAUGGGAGUGGGUUGCAAAAGAAGUAGGUAGCUUAACCUUCGGGAGGGCGCUUACCACUUUGUGAUUCAUGACUGGGGUGAAGUCGUAACAAGGUAACCGUAGGGGAACCUGCGGUUGGAUCACCU